AUUGAACGCUGGCGGAAUGCUUUACACAUGCAAGUCGAACGGCAGCACGGACUUCGGUCUGGUGGCGAGUGGCGAACGGGUGAGUAAUACAUCGGAACGUGCCCAGUCGUGGGGGAUAACGUAGCGAAAGCUACGCUAAUACCGCAUACGAUCUACGGAUGAAAGCGGGGGAUCGCCAGACCUCGCGCGAUUGGAGCGGCCGAUGGCAGAUUAGGUAGUUGGUGGGGUAAAGGCUCACCAAGCCGACGAUCUGUAGCAGGUCUGAGCGGACGACCAGCCACACUGGGACUGGUACACGGCCCAGACGCCUACGGGAGGCAGCAGUGGGGAAUUUUGGACAAUGGGCGCAAGCCUGAUCCAGCCAUUCCGCGUGCAGGAUGAAGGCCCUCGGGUUGUAAACUGCUUUUGUACGGAACGAAAAGGCUCUGGUUAAUACCCGGGGCUCAUGACGGUACCGUAAGAAUGAGCACCGGCUAACUACGUGCCAGCCGCCGCGGUAA
This 500-nucleotide ribosomal RNA is filed under the name uncultured bacterium. RNAcentral describes it as "partial 16S ribosomal RNA". It matches the Rfam family "Bacterial small subunit ribosomal RNA", at positions 29 to 523 of the family's 1533-position model. The record is from RNAcentral.